UGGAAGUAAAAAGUCGUAACAAGGUCUCCGUUGGUGAACCAGCGGAGGGAUCAUUACCGAGUUAUACAACUCCCAAACCCACUGUGAACCUUACCUCAGUUGCCUCGGCGGGAACGCCCCGGCCGCCUGCCCCCGCGCCGGCGCCGGACCCAGGCGCCCGCCGCAGGGACCCCAAACUCUCUUGCAUUACGCCCAGCGGGCGGAAUUUCUUCUCUGAGUUGCACAAGCAAAAACAAAUGAAUCAAAACUUUCAACAACGGAUCUCUUGGUUCUGGCAUCGAUGAAGAACGCAGCGAAAUGCGAUAAGUAAUGUGAAUUGCAGAAUUCAGUGAAUCAUCGAAUCUUUGAACGCACAUUGCGCCCGCCAGCAUUCUGGCGGGCAUGCCUGUUCGAGCGUCAUUUCAACCCUCGAGCCCCCCCCGGGGGCCUCGGUGUUGGGGGACGGCACACCAGCCGCCCCCGAAAUGCAGCGGCGACCCCGCCGCAGCCUCCCCUGCGUAGUAGCACACACCUCGCACCGGAGCGCGGAGGCGGUCACGCCGUAAAACGCCCAACUUUCUUAGAGUUGACCUCGGAUCAGGUAGGAAUACCCGCUGAACUUAAGCAUAUCAAUAAGCCGGAGGAA
RNAcentral lists this ribosomal RNA (625 nucleotides) under Clavicipitaceae sp. YCG1(1). RNAcentral describes it as "eukaryotic LSU rRNA". The stretch from base 246 to 399 matches the Rfam family "5.8S ribosomal RNA". The record is from RNAcentral. Lineage: Eukaryota; Fungi; Ascomycota; Sordariomycetes; Hypocreales; Clavicipitaceae.